RNAcentral lists this transfer RNA (72 nucleotides) under Camelus bactrianus (Bactrian camel). It matches the Rfam family "tRNA". Rfam says of the family: Transfer RNA (tRNA) molecules are approximately 80 nucleotides in length. Their secondary structure includes four short double-helical elements and three loops (D, anti-codon, and T loops). Lineage: Eukaryota; Metazoa; Chordata; Mammalia; Artiodactyla; Camelidae. RNAcentral also lists the same sequence under 2 other names. The record is from Rfam by way of RNAcentral.
AAGGGUAUAGCUUAGUGGUAGAGUGUGUGCUUAGCAUGCACAAAGUCCUGGGUUCAAUCUCCAGUACCUCCA